AUGAGGGGAAAAUCACAAGGUCAGGGUACACUCAACUUCGAGCCGGGUUCAUCACUUACAUCUGUUUGCACUGAAUAUAAUCCUGAAGAAACUCGUAAGAUCAUUGCUAAGAUGGUAAUUGCACAUGAUUAUCCUUUUAGAAUGGUAGAACACAAAUGGUUUAAUAUCUUGAUGAGACAUAUGAAUCCAGCAUAUAAGUUCAUUGGUAGAAAGACCAUAAGAAAAGAGUGUAUCAAGGUUUGUGAAUCUGAGAAGGAACUUCUUAAGAAGAGUUUCAGGGAUGUCGAACAUAUUUGUUUAACAAGUGACUUGUGGACAUCAAAUCAAAAUCUCUCCUACAUGGCUUUGGUCGCUCACUACAUAGAUGUCGAUUGGGUUAUGCAAUGUCAUGUCCUGAACUUUAUUGAGUUAGAUCCACCACAUUCAGGAAGCAUCAUAGCUCAAGCAAUAUUUGAAUGUUUAUGUGAAUGGAAAAUAGAGGACAAGGUCAUCUCAAUCACAGUUGACAAUGCUAGAAAUAAUGAUGGGGCUGUGAGGAAUUUGAUUAACAAGUUUGUUGCAAGGAAAGUACCUGGCUUCAUUUCCACACAUUUUCAUGUUCGUUGUUGUGCUCACAUAGUCAACUUGGUAGUGAAUGAUGGUUUGGAACCAUUGCAAGCUUUUAUUAGCUCGCUAAGGGAAACUGUGAAGUAUUUGAAGAACUCUCCUAGUCGCAUGUAUAAAUUCCUUGAAGUUUGUAAAACACUGAAUAUAGAACCUGGGGCUGGAUUAUGUCUAGAUGUGUCAACAAGGUGGAAUUCAACAUACAAGAUGUUUGAUUCUUGUACUCCCUAUAGGCCUGUUUUUCAUGAAUAUGCAGACUCGGAUAUGAAUUACACGUGGAAGCCUUCUCAUGCAGAUUGGAAUAUGUAUUCCAAGGUGCAACCAAUCUUGACGCAAUUUGCUGAGAUAACUAAGGUGUUAUCAGGAUCUGUAUACCCUACUGCAAGUAUCUUUUACCCUUAUAUAGUGACUGUCAAAAUGGAGAUAGUGGUUGCAUGUCAUUCUAAAUAUAAGCAUCUAUCAGCUAUGGCGUACGCAAUGAUAGAUAAAUUUGAUAGGUAUUGGGCGGAGAAAAACAAUGUUAUGGUUCUUGCUACUGUUUUAGAUCCUAGGUGGAAGAUGAGAUUUGUUGGUUACUGUUUUAGAAAGAUUUAUGGUGAAACCAAGGGCUGUGAGGAGGAAGCUGAGGUUAGAAAGGAGUUGUACGACCUAUAUGACACUUAUGAGGCUGAGUAUCGCCAAAAGAAUUCUGCUACUCAAAAUACUGGAGGUACGUCUUUGAGUAUGCAAUCAAGGGCAUCAACAACCAUAGUACGACCAAGUGGUUUUCGGAACUAUCUACAAGCAACAGCUACAGAAGCAUCUAAAUCAGAAUUGCUCCUCUAUUUGGAUGAAGCAAAUGUAGAUCCCGAAGACACAACAUUUGUGUUACUUGAUUGGUGGAAGGUGAAUGCUCAUAGGUUCCCCGUUAUAUCCAAGAUGGCACGUAGAUUCUUGACUAUACCGGCUACUAGUGUUUCUUCCGAGUCAACUUUCUCUACAGGAGGUAGAAUCCUUGAUGAUUACCGGAGUUCUCUACGUCCAGCAAUGGUCGAGGCAUUAGUAUGUGCCUCUAGCUUCAUACGAGGUUCACACCAGGACAAUCAACCACCAAUAAUAGUGGAUGAGGAGGAGGAUGUUGAAUUCAUACCAUUUCCUAAGAGUGAGGUGGAAAGCUCUUGA
RNAcentral lists this ribosomal RNA (1764 nucleotides) under Triticum aestivum (bread wheat). Its description in RNAcentral is "partial small subunit ribosomal RNA". Lineage: Eukaryota; Viridiplantae; Streptophyta; Magnoliopsida; Poales; Poaceae. The record is from RNAcentral.